CUAAAAAUCUGUUCUUUUCUCUCGCCCAAUCCAUUGCGAGCAUCCAAAAAUAUCUUUUCACUUUUACCGGUAAAAAAUCAGAAACCCUAGUUACUCUACAAUCCUCGAGGACCGAUUGGCCGACGCUCGAACAACCGUACAGCUUCAAUUGUCCCAUUUCCAUCCCAAGAAGUAUAAAAUAUAAAUCCAUAGUUUAUUUUACUGUAAUUCUUAUGUUGAUUUCUGUUACAUUCUGUUUGGCUGUUCACAGAACGUAUUUUGCGCACAGUUAACAAUUUACACAAUUUUACUUCAUUUUUUUUUUUUUUUAAAUUUAGCGUUAUCAGGUUCGAUUUUGUCAAUUUCAGGAUUAUUUUUUGUGUAUUGUUGAGAUGAGUUGUUUUUUGAUUUUUUUCCCUUUUCAUAGGGAUCUAUGAUGGCGGACGAGACGUUGAUCAACGGUGAAAACUCUGAUGAUCGGACGGUGGAAAUUACUGGGGAUGAAGUUUCGUCUAAAAUUUCAGUUCUCAGCCAAAAGAUCGAUAGACUUGAGCAGGAAAAUGAGAAGAUAAUUUCCGAGAACAAGAAGUACAAGGAGAGGAUUGAGGAAUUGACGGCCUCUGUAAAAAAUUUGGAUGCAAAAAAUGUGGAGUUGAAAAAACAGGUUGAAAGUUCUGAAUCUGAGAACAAGGCUCUUGGGGCAGUGGCGGCUCGAGCUGCGGAGCUUGAAGCCGAAGUGGCACGCAUGCAUCACGACUUGGGAUCUGCGAUGAGUGAUUUGCAAGAAUCAAAUGUGGAAUUAUCAGAGGUGAAAAAGGAUUUGGAGGAAAUGAACGGAAGGAAUAAGGAGAAGGAUGUUAAGCUUGCGGCAAUUGAGAAGGAGAGGGAUUUGUUGAUGGUGAAGGUCAGUGAAUUGGAGGAGAAAAAGAGCGAUUUCAGGAAUGAAAUGGAAGAGAAGGAAAAGGAGAUUCGAGGUUUGAAGAAGAAAGUUGAGGAAUUGGAGGCUGUGGUGGGAAAGAAUGAGGGAUUGGAGAAGUUGAAAAAUGAGUUGGAAAAAGAGGUUGAGGAAAUGGAAAGGAAAAAUGGAGUUUUGGAGAGUAAAUUGGUUGAGGAAGUGAAGGCAAAGGAAAAAUUGAUUAUGGAAGGUGUUAAUGGUGGUAUUAAUAGGGAUUUUGUGGUCGACAAAGAAAAAAAGGGCUUGAUUGGUGGUCCAAAGGAAAGGGAUUGGGCGGUAAUGGUGGGAUCAGCUGUUGCUGCCGCUUCGGUGUUAGGUGUUGCCUGCUAUUUUCGACAUGUCUCUAGUAAGCACUAAGCAACGAUUGGAUGCACGCAAACAUGCAGGAGUUAGAGGUUAGGAGAGCUCUAUUCUAACCCAAGAAAAAAGAGUUUUCGAUUUUGAUAAGUUCUAUUUCUUUUGUUUGUUUGGGUUUCUAUCUUCUGAGUUUGGUGAUUUUAGUUGAUACCAGUAGUAACCUUUUAAUAAUAUUAUUGUUGGCUAGUACUUGAACAAUAUAUAUUUUGUUUAGAAACCUUCAGGCUGGGGAAUAUACUGUGGUGAUUAUGGUGAAUGUGACUUACUGAAAUUUGGAUAUUAUGAGAUCAAAUAUGCGUGGAAUGAUUUUUGAGUUUGGACUGCUCACUGCUUGAAAUUUGUAUAUGUUUCUAUGGAUGUCACCGUAAAAUUUUAUUGCGGUGCUUUAUUUUGGCUUACAGUUACUUUACGACAUCAUAUUGAUAUGAAUAGUGCGGAUUUAUCAGUGUUGUGUUAUGAGAUCAAUCCUUGCUUUUAUGGAAGAGGAAAAUUUGUUUGGAACUUCAUAUGGUACUUUCUAGGAAAUUGUUGACGUGUUCUCCAAAUUGGUUGAGUCCGGUGAUAUAUCUCAUCCAUAAUACUAUUAAUUGUUAUGAUCUUAUUUUGAGUUCUGCAUUUAGGGAGUUUGGCAUUCUUUUGUGGUUAUCGCAUGUGAACUUUUC
This 1953-nucleotide long non-coding RNA is filed under the name Olea europaea subsp. europaea. The record is from RNAcentral. Lineage: Eukaryota; Viridiplantae; Streptophyta; Magnoliopsida; Lamiales; Oleaceae.